GUGUCAGCAGCCGCGGUAAUACGGAGGGGGCGAGCGUUGUUCGGAUUCAUUGGGCGUAAAGGGGGCCUAGGCGGCCUCGCAAGUCAGACGUGAAAGCCCACGGCUCACCCGUGGAAUUGCGUUUGAAACUGCCUGGCUUGAGUACGGGAGAGGAGAGUGGAAUUCUCGGUGUAGCGGUGGAAUGUGUAGAUAUCGAGAAGAACACCGGUGGCGAAGGCGACUCUCUGGACCGUCACUGACGCUGAAGCCCGAAAGCCGGGGGAGCAAACAGGCUUAGAUACCCUGGUAGUCCCGGCCCUAAACGAUGUGCACUGGGUGUUGGAGGUAUCGACCCCUCCAGUGCCGAAGCUAACGCAUUAAGUGCACCGCCUGGGGAGUACGGUCGCAAGGCUGAAACUUAAAUGAAUUGACGGGG
This 415-nucleotide ribosomal RNA is filed under the name uncultured prokaryote. RNAcentral's name for it is "bacterial SSU rRNA". It matches the Rfam family "Bacterial small subunit ribosomal RNA", at positions 505 to 918 of the family's 1533-position model. The record is from RNAcentral.